GACGUACAUGGGAGCCAAAGUCGUUCACAAGAGCCAUGGAAGAUGUCCUGUGCAAAAUGCAAAUGAAAAGGAUACCCAAACAAUAAGAGGAACACAUGAUUGGUGACAAAUCAGCAAAGAAGAAUGAGAAGGAGCAGUCAGAUCUGCUGCUCCUGAACUGGGACUGGUUUUCCUGCCUAGUUCCAUGGAUAUGUUUGGCUCCCCGACCUGAGAAUUUCUGACAUUGACUUUGGAUAGUGGUUGCUGAUUUUGAUCCCUGAUCUUCAUGCUUGGAGGCAGGCUGGUGCAGUGGGGAGAACAGUUGAUUUGGAGUCAGGGAGGCCUGGGUUUGAAUCUGUUCUCCAACCCUUACUUUCUAUGC
Phascolarctos cinereus (koala) is the source of this 361-nucleotide non-coding RNA. Lineage: Eukaryota; Metazoa; Chordata; Mammalia; Diprotodontia; Phascolarctidae. The record is from RefSeq and is a predicted model, not a curated record.